UUUUUUUUUUUUUUUUUUCUUAAAACCAAAGUUGACAUCCAGAAGACUACUGUGGUUUAAGCAAUCAUGUGGUGGAAGACAUGUCGCAUUGGUUGUUUUUGUAUACAUGCUCUGGCUCAAACGCCCUUGCAUGCGCUCAAGACAAGAUCAGACGGGUUCUUAUUAAUUUUUUUUUAAUACUUUUAGGAUCAUGGAUAAGCAUUUGAAGUCUCUUGCGCCAAGGCAUUUGGAAACAAAGUUCGUCAAAUUAGAUGCAGAGGUAAGUUUUUUCAUCUAGUCUUUAAGUGCUUAUGCAUUUGGUGCGGUAUUUGACGUGACUGACCAUGGGUCAUGACGGACUUUUGCAGAAUGCACCUUUCUUUGUUGCUAAAUUAGCUAUCAAAACUCUGCCUUGUGUAAUAUUCUUCAGGUUUGUUCCACAUUGCUUUUUCUAUUUUGAUUUCAUUUAUGUGGUCUUUUUCUCCUUUUGUUUAAAGUUUUUUUGUAGGUAGUGAUCCUCCAUUUGGUUUCUUGGAAAUUGGUUCCAGAAGUAUGUAGUAGCAUCCUUAAUUUAGGAUAACUCAUAUUACCAUAUGAAAAUAUAUGGGUCUCUAAGAAAGCAAUGUAUCAAACAAUCCAAGGACCUCUUAUGGUUCGGAUGUUUAUUUCAAGGGUCUAGCUCAUUGAAGUUUCUGCUGCGUGUAAUGGUUUCAGCAUAUUUUUAGGGAACUUCCUGACACUGUUUGUUUUUCUGAGACAGUAAUGAUUUGUCCAACCCAACAAAUUUGGUAAUUCUUAAGUUUGGGAGUCAAAGUAGAGCCUUCUAUUCUUUUGAUUAUUUCUGGGUUACCGACUUUUGCUCUGCUAAAUCAAGGUUCUGGAUGUUGACUUGGAUUUCAUGUUCCACCCUAUUUUAGGUCCCCUGUUAAGCUUGUGCUCUUGAAAAUCACAUUCAAUACAUCCCUGAAUAUCAACUCUUCUUAACUAUCUUCGAGAGUCUCAUUUCAUCAUUUUUUAUUAGCAAACCAAGAACCAAGGAAAAUGUUCAUGUUUUUCUUUGAAUUAAUCUUUUUUUCAGGAAUGGAAUUGCAAUAGACAGGUUGGUAGGGUUUCAAGACUUGGUAGGAAAAGAUGAUUUUACUACAAAGGCACUUGAAAUUCUUCUUUUAAGGAAAGGUAAUACUUUUACUCAUUGUUGGCUGCACUCAGUGAUAUGGCAGUUUCUAAUCCACUUUUUGCAGAAAUGAUCAAGGAGAACAAAUUAGAAGAAGAAGAGGAUGAUGAUUAUCACGAAAAUAGACAGAGGACAGUGAGAUCAUCUGUGAACGCUGAUUCAGAUUCAGACUGAAUGAAUUGUGAUUGCUUGAUUUCAAUGUAAUGCAUAUACUUUCGGAUGCUUGAUUUCUUCAAAUUGUUGCUAUUUAUUCAUUCCAUUAUCAAUUACUUCAUCUGAGAUUAACUUCUUCCCAUGGGAUUGCAAUAAUGAUGCUGCAUUUUUCAGAUUACUUCUGGCUGAAUCAGGAAGGUAGCCAAGAUAGCUACAAGAGUACUCAAGUCAGUUGAUCUGAAUUGGUGUUUAUACAUAAGAGCUGUGUGAUGCAAUGAAGCCACUUCUUUAGCUGACUGAGGCAAUGGAGUUUGUUCUUGAUUUGUGCUAGGCUUUCAUAGUGGUCGUCUUCUAGUCCGUUGGAGUCGUGUAGUAGAGAAUAUGUAUUUCUUCAAAUAGGUUAUCCUAUCUGCAACGAGCAGCACCAAUCUGAUUCCCACUUCUAGAAAAAUGUUUUUGUUACCUGAGGUUGCUACAAAUUUGCUGCCUGCAGGACUGAAACUUGCCUCUUUUCUAGAUUGCAGGAAUUACCAACUUUGUCAUAAGUGGGUGCCUUUGUUAUCAUAUUGAUUUCUAUCUUUAAGUCUUGUUAUUUUUAAACUUCGCAGGGGUCAAUUUUCACUAGAAAUGGGCAUUUUACGGGAUUGGCUUUGUAGUUUAGCAGCAAGGUGCCAUAUCAGUGAAUGAAAAUCAAAAUUAAAGUUGCAAGCAGAGGAAAGGACUAUGGUUAUUGAUGAUGCUUUUAGCCUCUGCUGUCUUUCACAGCUUCUCUUUCUUCAUUGGUAAAAAUUUGUCUAACAAGCAAAUGUAAGUGAAGAACAUGUACUUGGCUUCUCGCUAUAUCAGGGAAACAAUUUAAGGCGGGAAGGAGGAGGAAUUUGCAGAACGAUGAUAGCAGAAUUCUAAUAUAUCAAGCUUAUUGGUUUUCAUGCUUUUCCAACUGAAAGAAAUUGCCCUUUUAUUUUUUUAGGGUGAAAAAUCUGCCCAUCCUUCACUUUUCACAUUUCAUCCCCAAGCGGAAAAGGUUACAAGAGGCCUGAAAGAGAAGAAUACAGCAGAAUUGAUCGAUUUCAGCAGAUACCUUUUGGUCCUUUGGGAACCAUGAUUGUCUAAUUAGCUCCAUCUCCAGUAGGAUAGGACGCACAAUGACAUUACUUGAUGCGGGUUUAAGCAAUUUCUUGGAGGUGAUAUAUUAUUGUAAAAGAAAGGAUAUCUGCUUCUUCGAAGAAAUGAGAUGAUUAUAAAAAAAGAAGCCACCGGGUUGACUUGGAUGACACCUCGGUCUUUUGAUUUUCGGUAUUUCUUGGAAGCCGUGUUCCUGUUGGUCCUACCUUCCGUGUGUGAACUACCAUACUCGAAACGAAACAAUCGUUGCAUUUCUUCCGAGUCUUCCUUUGCUCGUCCACUCCGCUUUCUUGCUAUAUUUUCUCCACUAUACUGACUAUAUCUUUUCUGGCAAUAAUCACGAUCAAAGUGCAGGAUUCUCAAAGAUUGAAAUAUAUAUAUAUAUAUUUAUAUAUUGAAGCCGUCUAGGGGAGGAUUUGACCUGAAGAAGGUAUUUUGAAGAAAUAUCUUUUACUGCUCAACGGUAAGCGCAUUUUCCAUUACGUUCACGUUCUUCCUGCAUUAUAUUCGUCAAAUGAAGUUUUAUGUAAUUUGAUCAUUCUUUUGUUUUCUGUUUCUCAUUUCUGUCCCGUAUUUAGCUAUAUCCUUUCCGGUAAUACUAAUUGUUUCUAAAAUCAGAUGCAAAAAUUUUGGCCGCAAACAGCAAAAUCUUGGUAGUUUACUUAUCUUUAUGAUAUUGUCAGUACAUAAAUUAGGGGGAAAAAAGGUGUGAAGCUGAUACUUCUGAUGUCAAAGUUUAAAGAUUCUUCAGUUCAUUCUAGCUUAAUCUGCUUAAAAUCAGAUUAUCGUUCAAGCUUUAUAGGCGAGGGCUACGUUAGGUGCUCUAGAUAUGUUUCGUACCGGUCGAGAUAAACUAACAAACAACUGAGGAACUUGUACUUACUUCACACCCUAAUUACACGACGAGAUGGACUUUUCAAGUGAUAAACUAUCUUUUAAAAUUGACUUAAAAAACGAUUGAAGAAUCCUUCUUGGUCUUGGAGGUUAUUUUGACAGGAUAAGAAAUCAAAGAUAGCAUCGCAUGCUAACUUGCGACUAGUUUGACUUCUCCGAAUUUUGGAAAUUAGGAUCAAAAUUUCCUUUUUUUGACCAUGAGCGAUUGAUGUAAAGUAGAUAUUCUUGUGCAGAAGCACAAUAAAAGAUGGUGGAUGCAGUGGUUUCAGUGUUCUUGGAGAAGCUUCUUAAUGCUUUCCAGGAGGAGAGCCAAUAUCUGAGCAAGUUUAGAGAGCAAUUUGGAAGAUUGAAGAAUGAGCUGCUACUCAUGGAAAGCUUCCUAAAAGAUGCGGAUAGGCUCAAGAGGAAAAACCAGAUUCUUCGAAGGAUAAUGAUGUGUUUACGUGAUCUUAUAUAUGAAGCUGAAGAUAUACUGAUAGAUUGCCAGGCUAUACCAGUUCGCGCAAAUGCGGCUUCAAAGUUCGCUAGUCGUUUCUGUCCCUCAAAACUUCCACUUCAAUACCGAACGGGGAAGCGUCUAUGUGAGAUUAAUGAGAAAAUCAGAGACAUAAAACAAAAUAUUUCAUCCUAUCUGGGGGUGCCGCUUUUGAGUGAAACCCGUAGCAUGGAGACUCAUGACCAUCUCAUGUCCAGAUGGAGCUCACCAGUGUAUGAUCACUCCCAGGUUGUUGGUUUAAAGGAUGAUACUGAGAAGAUGAAGAAUUGGAUAUUGCAGUCAAAUGAUGGCAUCGUUUCCAUUGGAAUUGUUGGAAUGGGAGGAGUGGGGAAGACUACCAUUGCUCAAGAAGUCUUCAAUGACAGAGAGAUAGAGGACAGGUUUGAAAGAAGAAUCUGGGUCUCUGUUUCUCAAACUUUUACUGAGGAGCAGAUCAUGAGAAGCAUAUUGAGGAGCUUAGGGGAUGCAUGUGUGGGCGACAAUGAAAGUGAAUUAUUGACGAAGAUAAAGCAGUAUCUCUCAGGAAAGAGAUAUUUGAUUGUGAUGGAUGACGUCUGGAGUUUGGAUAAUACUUGGUGGCUUAGAAUAUUUGGCGGGUUGCCUCAAGGAAAUGGAAACUGCGUAAUUAUUACUACAAGAAUUGAGAAAGUUGCUCGGAAGAUGGGAGUGAGGGAAUCAAGGACUCAUUGGCCCAAAUGCCUCAAUGAGGACUAUAGUUGGUUACUGUUUCGUAAGAUAGCAUUUGCCGCAACUGGGGGUGAGUGUCGUCACUCUGAGUUAGAGGAUGUUGGGAAGGAGAUUGUUGAGAAGUGCAAAGGGCUUCCAUUAGCUAUUAAAGCAGUGGGAGGAGUGAUGCUGUGCAAACCACCUCAUUAUCAUGAAUGGAGACGAAUCUCAGAUCAUUUUCGUGAAGAAUUAGCUGAAAAUGAUAACUCUGUGAUGGCAUCACUGCAAUUGAGCUAUGAUGAACUCCCACCCUACUUGAAGUCAUGUUUCCUCUGCUUCUCAAUCUUUCCAGAGGAUUGUGUCAUCGAUAAAGAUCAAUUGGUUCAUUGGUGGAUUGGUGAGAGUUUCAUGCCUGUGAGAAACCAUAGAUUAUCAACUGAAGUUGGAGAAGACUGUUUCUCAGAGUUGACAAAUCGAUGUUUGAUAGAGGUGGUUGACAAGGCUUAUAACGGUCGGAUCCAGACUUGCAAAAUACAUGACAUGGUUCGUGACUUGGUGAUUAGAAUUGCUGAAGAUGAUGCAUUUUCCAUUCCAUCUGAUGCUAACUGCCGCCAUCUUGGUAUUAGCAGUGACAUGAGUGCACGUAACCUGGCAGCUGAUCAAAGGUUGCGAGCACUGCUCACUACAACCAAGAUUGGUGAGGUAAACAAGAUUGGUUCAAAAUUGGCAAAGAGUUUCUGCAGAUGUUGCCAUCUGCAGAUACUCGAUCUUUCCAAAUCGAUUUUUGCAGCAUCGCUUUCAAGUUUGUUGGAUGAAGUAGGAACUCUCCAGCAUUUGACCUGUCUGAGCCUAAGCAAUACUCAUCCUUUAACCCAACUCCCAAUUUCACUAUCGAAGCUCCAAAAGCUGAAGAUUUUGGAUGUCAGUUAUUGCCAGAAUUUGAACAUGCUUCCAAGUUGUAUAGUAGCAUUUGAAAAGCUCGUGGUGUUGGAUGUCAGCAAUUGCGGUUCUCUUGAGUACCUGCCCAAAGGAUUAGGGAGGCUUUCCAACCUUGAAGUGUUAUUGGGCUUCAAGCCAGCUAUGCCAGUCGAAUGUGGAGGUUGUCGCAUUGCUGAACUGAAAAGCCUGUCAAGACUGAGAAGAGUAGAUUUAAGGCUUACUCAUGGUGAUGAGAUUGGAAAUGACGAGGUUGAUGCAUUAGUAAAUCUCCAGGAACUGCAAUUCUUAACACUGAACUUCUUUGAUAGUCAUGAUGAUGAUCUUUUUUUGAAAAUCAACAAACUUCUCCCUCCUCGACAACUGCAUGAGCUGAGUUUUAAAUUUUAUCCUGGGAAAAUAAGUCCAGAGUGGCUGAACCCCAGGUCGCUUCCUAUGUUGAGGUACCUGUCCAUUGUUUCUGGAAGCCUCGCAAAAUUGAAUGAUAGCUUCUGGGGCCUUGGAAAUAUGGUAUGGAGAAUUGAGGGCUUAAAAUUUGAAGCUUUAUCAGACUUGAAUGAGGAAUGGUCAAUGAUGCAUCAAGCCAUGCCAUCCCUGAAAAUACUGAAUGUGAGCUGGUGUCCUGAGCUGGAGUCUUUCCCAAUUGAAGAUGCUGGAUUUAGAGGAGGGGUUUGGAAGAAGGAAGAGCAAAGGAGCUAGCAAGACUUAAAAGGUGCAAUACAAGUAACAACAGUUCUUAUACAGUCCCAGCACUGAUUGAAUAAGCUCUUGCAUGUCAUCAUGGUCCUUGCCAUUGAAGUGUUGCAUUUCAUCACUUUGCUUCGGGAUUGGUUCAUAGCCCAUUCCUCCAAUGUUACAAAACUCCAUGCUUCUUGGAAGGGGUGGUCGAAAUAAGCCGCAGCUGCGCCUUCCUUCGGUGGGAAAUUCUUCUCUUUUUGAGUUGGGCUCCUAAAACCGGGCUUCAACAACUCUCGCCAGUUCCCUGAGGCCCUGAUUUUGAUUUAAGGGAGUUUCUUUAUUUUUCGGCCUAGAGCUAUUCAGCCUCGUUACCUUGUUUAUCCGCAAACUAUAUAUGGAUUGGGGUGUUUCAGUCCCCCCAUCUAUGCGGCAAGCUACCCCAAUCUCCACCGUGAAAAUGUCCAACUAAUAGGAGAUUAUGUUUUGUUGUAGGCUCUUAUUUUUUCACAAGAUAGUCUGCUAAUUGCUGGAUAUAUUUAAAUUCCUACCACAUGAUUUAUCUAAUACUUUCUAAAAUAGGGUGGUCAACUUUCAUUGUAGUAAUUUUUUUCCCUCCCUAGGCAACACAUAUAUAUUACUUUAGUUGGAAAAUUAUGGUUGUACAAGGGAUUAAAUGGAAAGACCAAUAUAAAUCAAUAGUACACAUUGGAUCUUUUAAUUGCAAUCUACAAUCGGUGGUGAUUAACAAGCGGGUAGUCAACUGAGGAUUUUUUUUUUCCAUCAUGAAUCUGCAGUCCGACUUUAUGAACCUUACAGUUGGAGUCAAUUUUCUUUUCAUUAAUCAUCAAUUGUUAAAUAAAAAAAAAAGGGGGUGGUUCAAGUCUUUAAGAACCUAUUCUUGAAUCUCAAGCAGUGUAAUUCAAAGCUAUCAUAAAGCUUCAAUUUAUGCUUCGUUCGGUAAUAGCAGUGUAUCCGAGAAAAAUCUGAAUGAUUAAGGGAAGAAAUUGUUUGAACAGCGUAGUAUCCAAAACAUGAUGCUGAGUUCACUGAUUCAACUUCUUUGCCUCUUUUUUCUAACUUGUCUUCGGAUAUUGCUUGAAAGAGUUGUCGCGAAUCAUCCCAAUAAUCAACAUCACUAUGAUGAGCAAAAGAGAAAACAGCAAAUGGAAAAACUAAAGCGGCCAGGACGUCCCUUCCGCAGAAAAUGAUCAUAAUAGUUAUCCGUAAAAUACAACAAAACUUAAAAGACAAGGGAAGGUGCCUAAAAGAGAAUACAACAAAACUGUACCUUGUUGUCUUAUAACAAACAAAUCACCCAGCAAAAAAACAGACGAGGGAAGGUGCCUUUCCAUUUCAGGACGCGACAUCAAUCUAUACCCGACCGACAAGAGCUUCAUUCCUUUCAACCAAAUAAUGAGAAACGGAUGCAUGCCACCUUUCAGAAAUCCCCAUCCUUGUGAAAAAAGCAUAUGAGUUGCCCCCAUGUUCUUGUAAUUAAAAUCACUUUUACAAUCAGAUAUAUAUAUAUAUAUAUAUAAUGAGGACUAAUUUUCAGCAGUAUAUCAGCUGACAGCAGUGUUAUUGUUGUUUAUCUUUUUUGGCGGAGUUAAAACAUGGUAGCAGCCCUUUGGGGAUCAGAUACUCCCAUUGUAAGAGCAACAUACGUAUGACGUGAAAGCAAGGGGUACCAGACACAGCCCUCUACUUCUCAGAUCAUGCAUUGCCCGCUCUUCUUCAUCCUCGUCUUCUUUCAUGCUCAAAACCUCCUGCUGUUCUCAUCACCGGUAAACCAAGACAAAGUUAAUUACAAUCUCAAAUCUCGUUUUUAUGUUUCAUGAUUAUUCUGUUCUGAAGCUGCAAUAAAGAUGAUAAGCAGGAAAAGCAUUUUUCAAAGCAAGUUUUAACCACUUUUCUCUUAGGUCGAAUUACUGCGUAAAUGGAAGCUCAUUUUAUUUGUUUAUUUAUUUAUUUAUUUUUUUUAGGUGUAGACAAAAUUGCAACUCAAGUCAAAAUCUUGAUGAUAAUCGAUACUGGAAGCCGAAGACUUACUCCACGAGUUGCUCGACAGGACUUGCUGCUGCGAGAUGAUUUCAAAUACGCCAUACUCAAUGUCUGCAAAGAAUCAUCAUAUAAGUAUUUAGUGGAUGGACCAAUUUCACGAUCAUGCCAACCAAGAAUUUAUGUCUCCAUCAAGUCUGACAAAACAUUUCCAAAAGAAAGUAGUAAACUUUUUCUUUUCCUUCUUAGGAAAUCAAAUUUUGGGAUUUUUCUUUAAUUUUAUUUCCUGCGGAUUAUUAACAAUAAUAUGUAUUUCUCAGAAAACCAAAAUUAACAAACUUUUUAAGGGUUGGUGGGUUAAUUACCUGGAUUUGGUCUUGGAGGAACUGAAUGUACCCAAUGGCUUCCGUCAAAACUGAGGCUGUAUCCGUCUGCAUGUUCCCCAUUACCAGAAAGAAUUUCAUCAGGGCAUGGACAAAAAUUUAAAAUAAUACGCCAUUCUCUUCUCUCUCUCUCAGUCUUUUUGCACGAUAAUGGAUUCCGAUGAAUGAAUGACCAGACCACAUACUACCUUGCCGAAAGGCGAGACCAAUCUGUGAAGAGCUGCAAUUCUGUCUCCCAAUUUUUCCUUUCGGACCUAGGUAUAUACGUAAGUUGAACCACGAUUACUUAAUAAUAUUGAAUCCUCCCACCACCUACCACCCAAAAAAAAAAAAAAGAAAAAGAAAAACCUUGUUCUGUUAAAGAGUGAGUACGAGGAUAGUAACAUUUUUUGUUUGGCACCUUAAGGGUUGCACAUGAAGAUUGCGGUGCCAGUACUCGAGGUUUCUUGGCCAUUGCAAGGGAUGGCGUUGGUUUUUGGGUUUUCGGUCUUGAAACUUCUUUCCUGAAGGUUGAUGUCUUUGAAACCAAAGGGUAAUUAUUAAAGUUUAGCCUACUAUUGCCAAAAUUAAAUUGAUCAGGGAGCUGUGGAAAGUUAAUAAUAAGAAGCGUAAAUUAGUAACUGAGACUAAUAUUUCAAGUAUCAACUAGCUGCGCUUUGCACACAUGUACUUAUUAUACUUGAAUCAAAAUGACUAUGCACCGGAAAUUGAUAAUUACAAAAGUUGACAAGGCAUUUUCAUUAUUUUUCGUGAAUUCUAUGAUGAAUAUGAGUCAAUAUUCCAGGUGAAGAUAUCUAAGCACUAAAACUCUCGAGGAGCAUUUAACAUACACAUUCAACGUAAAGUGCAUUUCUCUAGAAAUCAAUCAAUCACUCACGUAAUCACGUAAAGAAAUGCGUAUAUACACUAAAACUCGACUAACCAAAAUACUCCAAUACAGAAAGUUGAUGAUGCAUUGCACUGGUACUGAAAAAAUUAAUUCGUCUAAAACAGUAAUUCGAUCUAACCAAUAAUAAUUAACACUAACGCAUUAACACAACCUAUUCUCAUUCCAGUUGCUUAAUUUUUAGUACUGAAUUGCUUCUUGCGAAUAUUGAAAAAUAUACUAAAUGGUCACCCACAGUAAAUGAUUGGUUUACUUCAUCAUCGAUUUAAAAAAAAAGAAAGAAGAAGAAUAGACAAGAAAAUCACUGGUGGAAGAAUAUUAAACCGAAACCAUAUGCAUUGAUCCAUGAUGAAGAUUGCACUAAUUAGAGACGUCCGUGUAUGGUGAAUGAACAGUUGUAGACUUAGGAGCAGAUGAAGAAGGAUCUAUUUGAAGACAAUAAACUUCCGGAAAGGCUGUAAAAUUGUAUGUUUCGACAGAAGAAAGAGGAAAAUACCCACUUUGUUGGAGCUGUUUGAUGGACUAUCACUUGAUUGUCGGAGGUGACAAUAAUCCGAAGACAUUCUUUCUUCGAAGGAUUCAUGAGUUCGAUGACCCUCAUCAAAGUUUCUGCAAUUCAGGAUCUCCGUGGCCAAAGGCAAGCUUUGUGAAGUGGGAAGUAAAGAAGUAGAGGCAUAAAGUUGAUGCUGAUCUGUGCUUUCUGAAGUACCGCUGGACAUAAAAUUUGGAGGAGAUGGUGGUAGACCUACAAAACUAGCAAAACCAUCCCCAUUUGAGUAGGAUUCAUUAGUUGAAAGCUUCUGGUUGAUGUGGCUGUGGGAGAAGGAACCAAUCCAAAGAUUCUCGUUUAGGUCUAUUGACACAUCUUGUUGCCCAUUUUUUAUGUAGCUGUUCUUUAAUAUGCUCCCAUUCAUGUCAUCCGAUUUGAGGAAAAGUCCUGGAUUAAUGCCACCCUUACUGGGCAAUGGAUGAUGCAGAUAGCUUCUAAAAUCACGACAAUUAGAAUCUUCAUGAUCAACUUCGAGUAGCGAUUUUUUGACAGAAGGGACUGAGUUGAUACUCCUUGGCCAAAAGUAGUCCCUCGAAUUUGGAAGGAUUUCAUUCAUGUAUCUGCUGAAGUCAUCUCCUUCCCUACAUCAUCAAAACCAAUAGUGGGUAAAUCUUCCCGAAUGAGUUUAAAAUGUUAAAAUUAAACUUCUUCUACGUAUCUUCCAUGCCCUUUCAUCUGUUUAACCAAAAUUUUAGCAUGAUGACCUAACUCGGAAGAUGAAUGUUUUUCUAGGUGAUAAGUCAAAUAAAGAAUUUUUCUCUUUUUUUUUUUUUAUUUUGACCCCUCUAAAAACUGCAAAAAUGAAAAAAGAAGUGAAUUAUUUAUCCGAAUCACAGUUGAAUCAUAAUCCUUCAGAAGUUUUCGCGAAAUCAACCGAGCUACUUGAGAAAGUUCGUUAUGUAGGACAAAUAUUCUUCUCCGCUGUAACAGUGAAGAUAAAACAAAAGCAAGAAUAUUGCCCCCAGAAAGAAAGAAAAAAAUAUAGCAAGAAUAAUAGAAGUAGGGAAAUCCUCUAAGCUUGUAUACUUACAAGACCAUGCUGGGGUUCCACUGACCAUUCACGGUUGAUACUAGUGUAGCUGAGGAAGAGGUCGACGAUGAAAAAGCAGGAUAGAUAAGCUGUUGCUGCUGCUGCUGCUGAUGCUCCUGUUGCUGUAACGGCUGAUCAUGAUGCUGAUUAAAAUUCGCUGAUUCCAUGAUGAUUUUGUUCAAGACUUGAGAAUCCCUAGAAGAAUGAUCUGGAUACAUAUUUAUGGUUCAAACGGCCCCCAAAAAAAAAAAAAAAAAUUCACCUGAAAAGUUCAAGUCACGAAUAUUGAUACAAAACCCUUUUACCCCUUAGCUUUAUACUCCACUUGAAACCGGCAUCAAGUAAUUAAUAAGAGCAGACAAUUUAUGAUUUUACUAGUAUAUAUACAAUUCAUUCAUCUUCUCUAAUUGAACUUAGCUUGACCUAGAAAGUGCAUUUGUAGCCAUGUCGUUUCCCUACUGCCCAUUGUCACAUAAUUGAUGAAUUACCCACGAGGUGAAAAUCAUUACCAAAAAGCGGCAAUUUUUCUGGCCACAUGUCUAUACUUUUCUAUCAUUGAGCAUAUUAUAAUAGGUUUCAGGUUUAAGAUUGAGGAAAAUGAGAUAAACAAGAAAAAAAAAAAGUUAGCUUAUUAGUUAGUAUUUCCAUGGACUGCAUCGAUCAUGUUAAGUGCUAUUGCAUGUGCUCUGUGUUUGUGUGCCACCCCAUGUCUCUAAUCCCUAUCUUGUAAUCAGGCCCAUGUACGCUGUACUUCUAAGCAGGAAUCAUUGAUGAACAGAGAAAAUUGGGAUUUACUGGACUUUGUAUGGCUGAGAUGGCAACCACCCACUCGUAUCUCUUAUGUUAUGGUUGGUUGAUGCAAAUAUGAUGUCAUCCUGCAAAUGCAACAUAUAAUUAAUUAAGGCAAAUUUGAGAAAAUUAGAAUACCAGUUGAUGCAAAUAUAUAUCAUCAUUACCGAAAAGUAGGGAUUUCUCUGGUUGAUGCACACCAAUGUUCAUUUUAACUACUACGAUAAAAUCGAAUUACGCUUUGAGGAUUGCACUAUUUUGUGCAAGUUUGGAUGCGAAUUACGCUUACAAUGUUUUUCUAAAAUGUAACAUUGUUUUCUAGAACAUGAUUACUGAUUGAUUUUUUUUGGUUUGGGGGGGGGGGGGGGGGGAGAAGGUAGGUAAUUCAUAUUACAGUUUCUCUACUCGAGCAAUAACAAUUUAAAAAAAAUAACAGUGACUAUCGAGCUAAUCUAUCAACUUAUCACAUAAUUAAGUCCAAGCACAUACAAGUGAUGAAAGAAGCACUAUAUAUUCUUAUACUAUAUAAGAUUCAGUUUUGGUCAAAAAAGGGAGUUAAAUUUCAACCGCAUGGGCGAGGGCAUUUUGAAAAUUUGGAAAAUGUGUUGCUUUUUUCAAUCUUUUGGUACAACUGAUUGCAGCAUGUGUUUGGGUGUUUUUAUAUUAAAACCCCCAUAUUUGUGCAUUUAAAAUUUACAUUUAUAGACACAUCUAAGUAUUUGUGAAAUGUGGGUUUAUUUGACGAUUAUUUGUGCAUUUGAUCCAAUUCAUAUAAGCGUAUAUUUUUUUGCAAUUACUGAAAUGGGAUUAUUAUGUAAUUAAAAUAGAGCCACGUUGCUGCUAACCUCAGUAAUUGCAAUAUAACUCCAUUUUAAUUGUCUGAAACACUCAUAAUUAUAUUAACACUUGCUUUCCUAUGUCUGAAGUUCAGCUGUUUGAAACAGCUUCUCUACCAGUAAUAAAAUACUAUUUACAUCCCAAUUAAACAUCCAAUAAAUGUGGGUGUGCUGCUAAGUUAUUAUAUGAGUAUCAGUUAUAACUCUUUCAAUUCUUCCUCCUUCACAUUCUUCGAUUUUUCCCCUUUCGACUUUCAGAAUUGCGUUAUUUUUUUAACCUUUUCGCUGAGCAUUUCAUAAUGGUUUUCAACAGAAGUUAUAUUUCCUUAGUAUUACUUAAUAUGUACUGUUAUUUUAUAUUUAUCUUCAUUUACUUGCUCAUCACAGACACCUAAAAAAUUCUCUUUAAUAACACGCGCCAAACACCCGCACGAUGCACAGGCAUUCCCCUCUAGUUUUGACAUAAGUUUAACGACCCUCACCUACUCAUGUUAGAUAAUUAAAUAUUCGAUACUCUUUAUCUGUUUUCCCCUAGCCGACUAAAGUCAUUAUUACCAUCUUCUCUUUGACUCUUGGUUGAUUGGGGACCAGAAUGCAGGAAUAAUCAACUUCAAACAAAUUUUAUUUUAGUACGCACAAGGGUCGCAAGGAAAACCACAAUACUAUCUUAUGCAUUCCCUUUUGUCAGACAAGAGUCCAUAGAAAUAUCAAAUCUGAGAACUUGAACUGGGAAAUCAUAAGCAAUGCCAUCUACUACAAUUCAUUUGUUUUCUUGAAAUCACGUUGACAAAUGAAUUGCACUGCAGCGUUACUUCUUCCAUCCCACUAGUUCAUUCCUUCUUCCUCCCCUUCCCGUUCUACUGGAGCUUAGUUCAUUAUUUGCAAUUAAUGGGUAAGGGUGGCUUAUGUGCCUGGUAUUUUGUCAAACUGUCAUGCAUGCAGAUUUCAGAUUAUGUGCUAACUUCUUAGUAAUGUGUUCCUUGUCCAACUCUAAUCGCCAGCAAGAGAUUCUUUUCCUUUCUCUCUCUUUUUUUUUUUUUUUGGGGCAUCACCAUUUCCCAGCUGAGAUCUUCCAGUGAUAUCCUAAACUUGAUUAUUUUAUGCUGAGGAGAGAGGAAUGUGUUCUCACCAUCCCUCAUUCUCUCUCCAUUCCAGCUUCUUCUUUCCCACUUCUCCCAUGCUAAAGUAAAAAGGUACAUGUUGAAGUACUAUUUCACUAUUUUUUAGAGAAAAGUAAGAUCGGGGGAGGUAACUGAUAAUAGCAACCCAACAAGAAGGCAAAAUGAUAUAUCAGGCGAAAAAGUGAUCAUGGAUUAAUGGAUUUCCAGGUUAUGGACAGGUUUGUCUUGAUCUCUUACUUUUUCAGCCGUACUCAAAAUUCAACUAGCCUUGCCAAUGCCAUCCACGGCCUCCUGCAACAAGCUCUCAAUCUCAUUUUCUAAAUUUUUUUCACUCUCAUUAUAUCUUAGCUUUUGCAUAGUCAAUUUUAGCAAAUUUUACCUGAACUAUUGGACACGAUUGCAACGAGUUCAUUUUCUUACGUGAUAGGGUCGUUAAUUCAAUAUCUUGUACAUGCAACACUACAUUUGUUUUUUUUUUUUUCCAUUUUAAUUGACUAUACGAGUAAUCACUCUAGAAUCUAUAUGCAUAAUGUCUUUAUGAUUUAUUUUUUAUACACAAAUAAUAUAUACACGAUCACCAUUGAAUGCAUGAUAACUGAUUUGAAUGUUAACUUGAAAUCCAAAUUUUACAUAUAUAUAAUACAUCCAAUCGUGAUAAUAUAUACACCACCAAUAUGGAUAAAAUUAAUUCAUAUUUUUAACAUCCAUGUUUUAUAUGUUUCAAAAAGAAAUUAACACCUUAUUUCAUUUAUUUGAUUGAAUAUUAGAAACCUCCCUGCUGAAAGUAAAUUGUAAGAGUGUCAAAUUUGAUGUUUGCCGUUUUUUUAAAGAUAUGAACAUUAAUAAAGAUACAUCAAUCAAAGCUACCCCCAAAAAAAAAAGCAUAUAAAGGACAAAGGGUUUUAUGGCACAGACUUGCUAAUACAUAAAUUCCUUGAUUGAGUUCAAAACUUAAUGCACUUUCACCGACAAUAUGCCAAAAAUACCCUUACUCGAAGACUUUGGAAGUUCCAAGUGUUUGAGACUAAUGGGAUGCAUAAACUAUUAUGAAUUAAUCUUUUCUACACAACACAACAGUGUAUCCAUUGUCUGCUAGUUUUUGAUGAAUGACAGUAAUUCAAUUUCAAAUUUGAAUUUGAAUUGUCUGUAAAAUUUGAACUUGAAAUUCAAUUUUUUUGCACGUAUCAUUAAUCCAAUGGUGAUAGUGUACAUAUUAUCAGUGUAUAUAAGGUUUACUCAAAUAUUUAACAUUAAUUUUUGAAUUUGACCUAAAAGAUCUGUGUCACUAAUAGCAUGAAGAUGGAACUUAAACCUAAGAACAUGAUUAAAUAACCGUUCCAAAUUUUCAUGGAUUUAAAGGACGACUUGAUUUCUCCUUCUAACUAAUUAAGUUGGUCAUGCAUGCUACGAGGGUGGCGUGAUUUUGAGGGCCGACAUAUAGAAUAACAAUGCAAUUAUUGGUACUUUGGGAUUAAUCCCAGAUGCCUUUUUCUGAAUUAGUCUUUUUAUUAUUGUAAUUACUUGGAGUUAUGUUAAAAUUCCCUAUAGCACUUUAUAGUCCACUUGCUGCUAUGGGUACCAAAUGGAAUCCUAGUUGGAUUCAUUAUGUUCCUUCGACCGUCUUCCCAUUUGAAUAUGUUUUGCGUGCACGAAACACGUCCUUGCCAAAAUGCAAUUGGCGUUGCAAUCAUUUGUCUAUUGGUGACAUUUAUCUUGAGACCAUCAACCAUUGUAUGUAUCAAUUAUCAUGUCUAGACCUGAGAUUUGUGUCCAUAAGGUAGACUUAUCAGAAUGAGUCCAAGCGAAAGUGGUGCUAAUCUAAAUUAAUACUAUGCUCUUUUCGUGUUUUGUAUUUCAUGGUAGCUUAAAUAUUUUGUUCUGCUCUAUAUGGGUAAUCUUGAGAGUAAAUUAAAACUCUGAAUAUUCUCUACAUAGUUGACCCGUAAUUUCAUGCACAAAGCUAGCUCCAAGGCCUUAUUUUUGGCCUCUAACGUCAUAUGGUUUUUCUAGCAUACGGUAGCACUACGACCUUAUGCUGUGUACUAUUUUACUUUGUAACAAAUGAUGAUAGUUCCUUCACUAAAAAUGUAAGUGGCUGUAGUUUAGUGGUAAGAAUUCCACGUUGUGGCCGUGGAGACCUGGGCUCGAAUCCCAGCAGCCACAUUUUCUGUUUUAUAUGAUUGCACUUAAAAUGCAAUAAUUGUUUUUGAAACCUUUCUCCUUUUUUUUUCUCCUGAAUUUAGCUUGUUGCCAUAUAAUGGAUUAGAAAUUUACUUAAGAUAGAAUGGCGUCUCUAACACGGCCAUUGGCCAACCUAUUACAAACUUUAAUACUUGCACAUGUUUAGGUAAGAAUGGGUAGCAAUAAAGCCUUUAGGGGAUUGCCUUUAAAAAAAAAAAAACUUUAAUACAAACUUUAAUACUUGCACAUGCUUAGGUAAAUGGGUAGCAUUGAAGCCUUUAGGGGAUUGCCUUUAUUAAAAAAAAAAAAAAAAGCCUUAAGGGGAUUAAAUGUUUUUAACUGUGUUAUUCAAAAAUCACACUGUAAAAAAUUUGUUAGGUGCACAGUGCACCUACCAUAACCACCAACCACCUCGAUCACCACUAUUCAUCUCCACUACUACUAUUGCCCUUCCUCCCUCUUUCUCUCUCCUCUUCAUCCUCCCUUCUCUUUGGUCUUGGGAAGAGGUAUCGAUAGAGGAGGGGAGGAAAGAAAGAGAGAGGGGGGAAGAGUGAGGGAGAGAAAGGAGAAAGGAAAGAAAGAGCUAAACCCAACUUCAAAAACACUUUUAUCCUAAUAUAUUAAAUAAGAACAAAGUGUCUAUUUAAUAAGUUUAGACCUUCUAAAGGAUAAAAAAUAGGUAAAGUUUAGGAAAAUUUAACGUUUUUUGUGAACACAUUUUUCAGUUUUUUUUUUUAAUUAUAAACAUCAAAUUAUUAUGGUACAUUUUUCUAUAAAAAUUAAAAAAAAAUUCAAACAACACCUUACGAGUCAAUCAUAUUUGACCUGUAACAUUUAACCAUGUCUUGUGUAUACUUGUAUUAUGUAGAUAGUUAGUAAGGUUGGGCUGUAUUGGGUACUCAUCCUGUGCAUUAUUUUGUUGAAUCAACCAACACCUUAUGGGUCAGUCAUUUUCUGACUUUUACUAAGCCCAUAUAUUAGCAAGUACUUGGUUAACGAGUACCCAUUGAGGUACGAUCGAAUCAAUAGGUACCUGUUCUACCUCGUUUAUCAUUUAUUUUUUUUAAAAAAUAAUUUAUACUAAAAUAAUUUUAUAUUUUACAUAUUCAUAUAAGAUUUAAUAAAUGUUUUCUCAAAAAAGUUUCCUACCAUGAUUAUUAGUUUCAUCGUUUAUCAUUAUUUUACUUAUUUAGCUUUAAAAAUAUUACUUUGUAGUAUGUGUAUACAAAUAAAAAUAAAAAAUAUAUAUACCAAACGGAUUGGAUAUCUAUGGGUUCUUAAUCACGUAGCACUAACCCGACCCUGUAUAUAAGCGCGGAUUUUUUUAUUUAUUUUGGCCCAACCCUAGUAUUUUUUCUUUUUUUUUUUUGUCGAUACGAUAGAUUUCUACACUAAGGAGAGGAGGAGGACUUGAAAAGGUCUAAAAGUAACCCGAAAGGGAUUGAACCACUGGACUAGAUGAAUGCACUGUACACCCGUUUGAAGUUUUUAAACAAAGCCAAUUUUUAAUAUGGCGAAUUGAUGGGAGGCAACGUUUAAUGAACCCUUGUCUCCCACCCUACAAAGAUUUAAUGCAAUGAUGGUGGCUACCGGUCCAAAGGCAGUGGUUUUGGCCCAACCCUAGUCGUAACGCUGGAGCCAUGGUUGAUUUUAAUCUAGAAUUCUACUGGCAUCCGCGACGCUGGCUGCACUUUUCACUAGCCAGCCAAUUCCCCGAUACUUUCCACGUGGACAGCCGGUCGCCGCUUGCUUAAGGAGCCGUCAACUGAAAAUGUCUCAUCCAGACGAUGAGAAGACCAAAGACUUCUAAGUUUCAAACAUGCACGUUGUCGAGUAUUAUGGUGUAGUAUGGUAUAAUUCUACUCAAAAGUUAGUUAAACAAACAAAAGGAAACCCACCAGGCCACCACCAAUCCCCCACUCUAUCCGUCUAUCAUCAUCGAAUCUCAUCAAAGACAUAUCCCUUAAGAAACCAAACUCUUUAUUGAACAUCCAACUUCCAACUUAGCCGCACGGCUCGGCUCCUCGCUCUUAUAAUACCUAAGCACUAUAAGCAAUAUAGAAAUUGAACCCUAACUACUUUGACCAAAAAAGAAAAUAAGUAAUCAUAUUCCUACCUUUUUUCUAGACACGAUUUGGUAAUUUCAAGUUCCAUGACGGAGUUGGAAAUAUUUUCUGAGCGAAGGCACAAAUUAGCAAUAAAAGUUUGUGUAAUACUUCAAAGAAAUAAAUCUUAAUAAGAGUACUCGAUAGAAAUGUGGUGGACCAAUUUGUAACUUAAAGUUUAUUUGGAAUUGCAGCGACUUAUAAAAAAAAUACUUAAUUAGUAGAGGUCUCAUCAAAGUAUUUAUUAAGUGUUUAAUCAUAUUAUUUGGAUACAUAUUUGUAUAAGUAUUUUCUCUAUUUGAUAAUAUGCAAUUUUAAUCUCUAUUCCUAAAUUAAAAGAAUGAUGCUCGCUAAAUGCGUUAAAAAUUGCUCUUGUUAGCAAAAAAACCACAACUCCAAACGAGCCCUUAAAACUUUAAGUUUAAGUAGUUCUAUUUAUUUGUUUAUUUAUUAUUCAUCAAAUUAUUAUAACAACCAUGAUCUUAAUUAUUUUCACAAUUCAGUGGGGACACAAAUUUCUUAAGAAAUUCUAAACCUAUUAUAAGCCUUUUUUUUUUAGACCUUGCCAACACGUAAUGAAGGCAAAUAUAUAUAGUAAACAAAGUACAUAAUAAAAUCAUGCAAAAAGAUAAACAGGGCUUGAUUAUUUUAAUUUUAAAAAUACAAUCUUGAUAUUUUGACACUAAAUUAUAAGGCGGAGCAACAAAAAUUUUUAGUGAGGAAAUUAAAUGUGAUUUUCACAAGCUUUUGACAUGCAUCAAUGUCUUGAAAACAAUAAUCUCAACUGAUUCCAGCUGACAUAACUGGACAUCGUGAGGUGCUCAAUUAAAUUAGGCCUUCUACUUCUACUGCCGGCAUUCCCCUCGUGGAGGCCAAAAAAAAAAAAAAAAAAAACUACGAAGCUCCGAGUCAUAUUUUAUACUUCAAGCUUGGCUUAACUGGCUUUUGAAGCCGAGAAUAAACCAUAAUUGAGCGGUAACAACAACUAAAGGGCUGUCCCCAUUUAUUUAUCAACUAAAUUGAUUUUGCCUGAUUCAGUAAUAUGGUUGAAAAAUUCAUGCAUCCGAACAAAAUUACUCGUUCAAUUUGGGAUAAGAUUUCACAUCUUUGUGGGUAUAAUCCUAAUCAUUUUUACUUUUCCAAUCUACUCUCCUCAUCUUAGAAAUGCCCAUUUUUGUCCAUUCCUCUUUGUAUAUAUCUGUCUCUGACUCUGUAUCCUUCUCAUCAAUUUCAAGCUGGUAAGGCACCGGAUAUUUUUACGAGCUGGAAUUUACUGGUUUUGAAUGUAUAUUUUUCACUUUGAGUUCUGCAGGAAUUUGUAUAUAGAUCAAAACUUUAUCUAACUUCGGCUUUACUUCUUCUCAUAAACAGGUUUUUGAUGGCCAAAGUUGAAAAAGUUGCAGUGAAUUUGUCGAAGAUUGAAGGGAAAGAAAAGGGGAAAUUCUCAAAUUAAAUUAUUCAUUUCUUGAAGAUUAAUAGAGGGCCCAAGAAGAUUGAACCGCCGAAAUGUAAGUAUCAAUCUUUUCAUACUUCCAUUUUUUAAGUUCCACUUCACGUUUGAGAAUAGUAAUUUGGCUGUUCAAUUCCUGUUACGCAUUGCUUCAACAGUGGGUUUUAGCUUUUUGGUAAUCAGUAGCUUUCUACUCUGCAAACGGAAUAAAUUUUUCUUCGAUCAAUUGGUGAAUUGUGAGUGAUGAUUUUUUUUUUCUAAAAUUGUGGGAUGAAAAAUAACAGUGAAAUGGGAACUGUAAUGGAGCCAGCCAAUGAGAUUAGACAAAGAGGAAAGCAUUACUACACAAUGGGGCAAACUUUGUUUGAGAUCGAUACAAAAUAUGUUCCAAUCAAACCCAUAGGAAGAGGGGCAUAUGGGGUUGUUUGUUCUUCAAUUGAUAUGGAGACUCAUGAGAAAGUGGCAAUCAAAAAGAUACAAAAUGUGUUUGGGAAUAGGAUUGACGCAUUGAGGACUCUCAGGGAGUUGAAGCUUCUGCGGCAUCUUAAGCAUGAGAAUGUGAUUGCCUUGAAGGAUGUCAUGAUGCCUAUGCACAGGAGUAGCUUCAAGGAUGUGUAUUUGGUGUACGAAUUGAUGGAUACUGAUCUUCAUCAUAUUAUAAAGUCAUCUCAGCCGUUAUCAAAUGAUCAUUGCAAGUUUUUUAUUUUCCAGGUGCUGAUUCAUUUUGAGCUUUAAGUACACUAGAUUAAGUUUAUCCUUUUUAGUUCCAUGAGUUUUGUUAUUUGAGAAAGUUAUGGAUUACAAUUUGCUUGUAUGAGUACUAACUGCUGUUCUCAUCCUAAUGGAAGAGGUCUUAGUCACAAUUUUCUCUCUGUUUUUUUUUUUCUUAGUCACAAUUUUCUCUCUGUUAAAAGAAGGAUAGAACCACAUUAGCUACUAUAGAUGCGGUGAUCAACAGCCUUUUUGUGUCUUAAUUUUGAUAUGAACUUCUAUUUGAAACUUUUCUGCUUUUUUUCUUGUUUAUCUCUCCUACACUUACUUUCAUUUCUGAAAUUUGGGGGUCUCUCAUUUCAAGUUCUGAAUAAACUGAAUGAAUUCCAUAUCUAGCAUAACAUAUUUUGAUAGCUUUCCUGAUGAUUAACCUUAGAGUACUCGUAUAGCUUGAAAGCUUUUGGGAAAGACCUAUGUGUUAAAAUUGGUAUUUGACUUAGAAAAUGUAAUUAGUACAUUAGAGCUAGUUCGUAGUUUUAAGGUUUCCCCUGAUGGUGAACUUUGCUACUAUGCCUGGUGUGCCAGUUGUGAUAUACAAAACUUCAUUGUGUCUGAGGACAUUGGAACUAAUUUCAAGGCUUAUGAGUUCACUGUAUCCAGAGGACCAUGUAUUCGGGACUUUAUGCUCAUAAUCAUCUUCUCUUUUUCUAAAGCAUCAAAGAGAUAAGUAGAUAAGUAUAAAUACAAGUAGCAUACGUAGCAGUUAUUUUGUAAAUCCAGCAGAAAAGGUUGUAGAGGCAUUGAUCCUCUUCUGAGUGAAGAACUAUGGUUUCAAUUACACUUGAGAAAAGCUUCAAUUUUAUAUCUUGUGCCUGCAUUUCCUGUCAAGUUGCAUGCUUUGUCUUUUCAAAAUGUUUUCCCGUGGACUAUAUCUCAAAUUUAGAUUGGGUGAAUGGUGCAAAGAAAAGGUUUAUUUGUUGCUUUCUUACAUCAUGCUUAUCAUGAUGGAAUUCAAGACAAGGCAUGAGCCUUUCUUUAGUUGGACUUUCAGGGUUUAUGUUUUAUUUUCAAUCUAAUUUUAAUAACCUUUCUGAGCUUUCACGACAUAUGCAAACAGAAAAUCUUUUCCUGUUGAAGAUUAUUAUCAAUUGUUUCAUUUAACCUUCUUUUCUUUAAAUGCUGAUACGUUGCAAGAUUACUGUUCUUGUGAUUCUUGAACGGUCGCAUUCAUGGCUGUAGCCACGCUCUCACGUGAUCUUCAAUUCAAAAUGUUAGGUAUUAGAAAAUAUGAUGCAUCAAAAGCUCUUGAGUUAUUCUCCUUAAUUUUUUUGCUGGUCUGAUUCUCUGCUCCUGUUUUUCCCUCAUCACUGAAUUGCAAUGUGCAGCUUCUUUGUGGUUUACAAUAUCUUCACUCGGCAAAUGUCCUUCAUCGGGACUUGAAACCAGGAAAUCUCCUCGUUAAUGCUAAUUGUGCACUCAAGAUAUGUGACUUUGGAUUAGCAAGAACUGGCAAUGACAGUGGACAAUUCAUGACUGAAUAUGUAGUCACAAGGUGGUAUCGUGCGCCAGAGUUGCUUCUUUGCUGUGACAAUUACGGGACCUCUAUUGACGUCUGGUCUGUAGGGUGCAUCUUUGCUGAAAUCCUUGGCAGGAAACCAAUAUUCCCAGGAACAGAGUGCCUCAAUCAGCUUAAACUUAUCAUUGAUGUCCUUGGCAGCCAAACUGAAGCCAAUCUUGCAUUCAUUGAUAAUCUGAGGGCUAAAAAAUUCAUAAUGUCACUUCCUUGUUCAAGAGGGGUUAACUUUGCUUCUCUCUACCCCCAUGCUGAUCCUUUGGCCAUAGAUUUGUUACAGCGGAUGCUAGUUUUUGAUCCAUCGAGGAGAAUCACAGUGACAGAAGCUCUUUAUCAUCCAUAUUUGUCAGGUCUCUAUGAUCCAAGUCGCAACCCUCCUGCUCAGUUUCCUCUCAGUCUUGAUGUUGAUGAGAACAUGAGCGAAACAAUGAUCCGCGAGACGAUGUUGAGAGAGAUCCUUCUUUACCAUCCGCCACAAGUUACUUACACGAACACGAACACGGUGAUAAAUUUUUAAUUUGAGAAGCAUUUCUUUGGCACUAGACCUUUGGAAAAAGCAUAAAAGUUGUGGGGAAGGAAAGAAAGAACAAAAAGUACCAAUACAUUAUUAGUACACAAGUAUUGUUUUAGAAUCAUACUUGUUCUGUACCAAGCCUUGGAUACUUCUUUUUGAUUGCAUCAAUUUAUUAUUUAAGCCCGAAGGGGAAAAGGGACAGUGCAGUGGCAGUGAUAUAGCAGUUGAAUCCGAGCAAUUUGCCUGGAGAGUGGUGACUUCAAUCGCUCGACUCUUGGGCCAACCCUUGCUCCUCUAAGCUCUGAAUAUUUUGAUUAGUCCAGAAAUUUUUGAUCUAUGCGUUCUUUUAGUUUGAGAUCACUGCAGAAGUAGCAGCAUAUCAGAACCUAUAAGAGCAGUAGCUUCACACAUCAUUCCUUGAUGGAGAAACGGUCUUAUCUCAAAAUUAGUCCAUUAAUAAUCUUAAGAGUCGGCUUUUUUCCCCCUCCCUCCCCAUUAAUAAUCACAAGUGGUGGGCAUCUUUGAGGGAAUAUUAUGAUCAUCGAAGCAUAAAGCAGCAGCAGCAGCUAUAAAAGGCGACAGAAUACGUCAGUAUUAACUCAAACUAGUGGAUCUCCACUACAGUCUGACACAACGAAAGAGAUGCAUCAAUCGAGUCUGACAGGGAAAUCACAAAUUUUAAAAAGAUACAACAAUUUGCAGGGAAGUAUCUUAUCAUUAUGCAAAGCUAUAAAUUGAUCAAGCUCUUCUCUUAUUUGCUCGGUGUGGAAUAGUCAAUGAACACAAGCUUGUAUCUUUCUCCAAAAGCCCAAUCAAGAAAAUAUACAACACACACACACACACACACAUAUAUUACAUAUAGCUAAACUAAAAGCUGGCAAGCCAUCCAUCCAUGAAGGUGAAUGAAGUUUCUAUCUUCUUUCCUCUAACGUACAUCAGGGGCCCUUCGCCCAUAAUGUACGGUUGUCCGGCACGCACGAGAAGAAAUUAGAGAGUCUAGAAACACGUUUUGCCGGAAGCCUCCGCUAAUUGUUUCCACGUUGUCAUUUGGGACUCAUAAUGGGUCUGUUUAGAUAAACUAGAUUUUUUUCUUCCAAAUAUUAUUCAACUUGUGUCGUAUUUUUUUAAAGGCACACGUUAAAAUAUAUUUCAGAUAAAUUAUUUUUUUAUUUUAUAUAUAUAUAUAUUAUAUCAUAAAAAAUACUACGUUGUCAAUCUAAAUAAUUUUUUUUUUCAAAUUAUCUUUUAUCUAAACAUACCCGUUGCUUUUGCCCCGCUCCUAGUGUUCCGCUCCUAGUGUUCAAGUGUCGCAGGAUUGAAUAAAGAUGUUUUACCUAAAACCAUGGAUGCAUGAUACAGCCACUUCAACUUUGCCCAUGUCAGCUCAAUUUUCCACUAGUUGCUUUUUUUUUUUAAACAACUUUUUUUGUUUUUCUUUUUCUUUAAUCAAGAAGUGAAGAUUGGUUUUCUUACUCUGUUGUCUCCUAUGCGUAAUACGUGUUAGGAGAAAGCAAGAGAAAAAGUAAAUUUAAAAAACGUUAAACAAUAAUAAUAAUAUUGCUUAGCUUCUUAAACAUGACUUUGAUGAAUAAUAUAUAUUUUAUUUAUCAGACGUAAAACAUUUACGUACUACAACAUUCUUAAAUGCGGUCAAAAGUAAUUAAACCUCGUGCAUGGAUAAUGUAUAUCGCGUUCCACGGGAUGGAGAAUCCCUUUAGGCUUUAACCCCUGGAAGUUAAGUCAAAAGUCAAAAAAGAUGAACGAGGAAAAAUGGCCGAGCCAGCUUUGAAGUUGAUUGACAGUUGCUAAUAGAGGCCAAGUCAGAGUGAAGGUUCCCAUUUUCUGCGAUUUCCCUGUUCAAGCUGCACGGGAUAGGCUCCAGCGCCGCCGCCCCUUAUCCAAAUAUCCACCCAUUUGAUACAAUUGAAGCUUUAGCCACCAAACAACGUGCGGAAAAAAAAAAUAGCAAAUUUUUCCUUCCAAACGGAUCAGUCUACCUAUCAUGUGUCAACUAUUCUCUCACUAUUUCAACUGCUAAAAACCAAACAAAAGUUUCUUGAUACAUUUUCUAUUGGCACCAUCCCAAAAAAAGAAAAAAUUUUUUUUUUUGUUUUUUUCUGUAUUGUGGAAUUUAGAUACUACUCCACGAUAAAAGUAUAUUUGAAGAGAGGGAAGACUAGUAAGUGAUUGACAAUUCUAAUUAAGUCGGUAUGAGUAGCGCAAUUUGCUUUUGUCUUCACUUUUUCAGGUAAAAAGUAGUGAUUGAUGGCUGAUUUCUCUAAUUCAGAAGUAAUAGUACUAAAUUGGUAGUUUAAAUCAUAGUGAGGAUGGCCAGCUGGCCUCUGAGCCGUCACUUUAUGCUUCUCAAUGGGCCUAAAAAUGUGUAUAAAUUCCACAGCCAAAUUCUCCUUCCUUCCUCCCUCCCUCCACCUCCCUUCCUUCCUCAUUUCUUUUUGCAUUUAGCUUUGUGAGGUUCGGCCUCUGCCUCUCCCUAAUUUUCUGUUCCUCCAGGUUCUGAAACUCCCAGCUUCCACAAAGCCCGAAUAUUUCUUUUUCCCCUUGAUCCUCUACCCGAACAUUCAUGCGGCAACAGGCGUUUAUUCUCUAACCUUUGACAUUCAUGUCUCCUGUACUCAGCGAAGUCCUCCUCUCCGGUUUCACAAUCAGCUCCACCCUCCGCCGUACCCACUUGAUGCAAUCUUUCUCUGUUGUAUUCCUCUACUGGUUCUAUGUUUUCUCAUGAACUCAUAAAACCAUCAUAUUUACAUUAUUUUCAUUGACCAAAAGACUUCUUUGUCGUAAGUUCAUUAUCCAUAUAAUACUCCUACCCUUUAUUAUUUGCUUAUCUAAAAGACUGCAGAGUAGUAUUUUGCAAGAGAUUUUGUACUUUUUGGCAUAUAUUUUGCGCCAUGUCUUGUACCAGCGGAAAUUCAUCAGGGCCAAGCCAGAUUCAGAAUUCGGGGUCCGAUGAAGAUCCCCAACAAAUUAUGGACCUAAGAAAACGCAAAAGAAUGAUAUCCAACCGGGAAUCUGCUAGGCGAUCAAGGAUGAAGAAACAGAAGCACUUGGAUGAUAUGAUGGCCCAGGUGAAUCAAGUGAAGAACGAGAAUAAUCAAAUUCUCACCAAUAUCAACCUUACAAAUCAGCUUUAUCUGAACAUUGAAUCUGAAAAUUCUGUCCUAAGAGCUCAGCUGGCUGAACUCAGCCACAGGCUACAGUCCCUCAAUGAUAUCAUUAACUGCUUGAAUGCUACAACGAAUUCACCAGUUCUUGAAACACAGGACUCUGCUUUUGAUUAUCAGAUGAUGAGUGCUUUUGAUCAUGAUUUCUUCAACCCCUGGAAUUUACUCAGUGUAAAUCAGCCCAUCAUGGCUUCUCCAGAUGUUCUCAUGUACUGAUUCCUUCGGAGAAGUGAUCCAUUGCUUCGGUGUUUGGCUUGCUGAUGAUCGGGGUUGUAGACUUCUGGGUGCUUAGUGAAAUUGAACUAGAAUGUUGUCCUUGGUUUGUAAUUGAAACGAUUAUGUAUAUUAUGGUUGAUGUACUGCCAUUGCGAAUGCAAGUAAUUUUCUAAAUAUUAGAACAAAAUUCAAAGUCCAUUAUUGAGUGGAUUAGUUCAUUACCUAAUUACGUUGUUUUCGGUGUACAUCUUCAAGAAUGAUGCAAGGUUCGCACUCAUAAUAUAAUUUGUACUCCCAUCUUUUAAUCCUUUCAUAUAUGGUUCACAGAAAUUGUUCACUGAGUGCGAUGUGGAGAAUUUACAAUUAGUACUUUAGCAGCAAAAAAAAGGGUAUAUAUAUUGGAAGCUAAAAUAAAAGGAGUAUAUGUCAAAGGCGAUUUGUGUUGCUGAGGACGCCAAUGAGAAAAUUUUAAUUAUUUGAUGAUGACAUAUGUUUUAUCUACACAUUCAACUACCACUUUAGGUAAGGAUUAAGAUUAGUGGACAAACUGAUGUACCAAUAAACUACUGGCAGAAUUAGUGGGCGGACCAACAUAUAUUUCCAUUCAUGAACUAUACAUAUAUGGGCUGUUUGGCCGGGGCAGAAAAGAUUUGUUUAAAAAAAAUACUACCUCAAAUGAUGACAUCAUCUUGUAUUGUUUGGUAAUCACAAACCGACAGAUGCAUUUGACCUAACAAGUAGAAUUAUUAGUAUUAUACAAUUGUUGAAAGGAAGACAUCUUAAUCGCAUUAUGCGUGGAAAGUUAAUACAAGACUCGCAUAAUGCUCUGCCUCUAAUUGUUAAUAUUUUAGUUAAGCCAUGACCUCAAGGCUAAGGACAAAAUCUAUGAGUUUUCGUUAAUGUUUUGAAAAAUAACUAAAAUAUAAAAAGAGGUUAACAAAUCAAUAAUGUCAUCUCUUCUACACGAAAGAGAUGAAUACAAACCGCCUCGGUCGGAUGCUUAUUCAUUCUUUAAUCCGUUCUCCGUUCCACAGGACUCAAAUCAAUCUAAGAUUCCUUGAGAAAAUUAUUGAGCGCCCCCCCCCCCCCCCAACACACAACACAAACAGAACUUAAAAAGAAAUCGAUCAGAAGUUUCUUGAUUAAAGAACUUAAAGAGUAGAAUUAUUAGUAGUGAAAGAGAAGAAACACGUUGAGGUCGCAAUCCGACGUCUCUGUUAUUCUUAUCAGUUCCAUGUUGUUUUCACCUGUCUUUGAAAGAACAAAUAAAUGAACUGCAAGGCGCACCGAAUCAGCAAAAUCACUUUCUAGCCCAGAUUAAAGAAACCCCCAUUAGACUCUCAGACUCACUGUUGCAUGCAUGCCAGAUCGAGCAUAUCCACCUAUUGAAUUGAACCCUUUUAAGAGUUGUUCUGAUGUCACAAUUUUAUGUAGAAAGUAGGAUUCCACUCUUCAAGAUUCAAUGAAAAUCUCAAUUUCACAAUAGACGGACGAGAUUCAUAAAUUUUCAAGUCUUAAAAGGUUGAACAGAGAUGCUUCUGGUGCUUGUCUACUAACUAAAGAAUGCUAGAUCAACUCUACAGAACAAAAUGCAGUUACACGCUAUCUGUUCUGCACAGACAUUUGAUCUCUAUGUGAUUCAUAUUAAACCAGUCGAAUCCUUUUCUCUGGCUAUUGAAUAAAAUGAUGAUAUACGUACAAAAUUACUGGCAUUGAUUUUGCCAGCUGUUGGGCUUCAUCAGUUGAGUUAAUCUGGUAUCGACUUGACCAAACUUUGCCAGCAGUAUGAGCAGCUCAGCAUCAGGACCUUCUUGAUUUGUUUUCUAUUGAUUAGUGCAUCAGCACUAGGACCAGGGGGAAAAAGUAUGUUGGAGAGAUGCACGGAAAGAAAAAAUUAUUUGCAUGUUGUUUUACUUUGGCAUAGCCGUACGUGGUUUAAUUUUGCAGCCUGUUUUUUUUUUUUUUUUUAAAAAAAGAGUUAGGUCGACAAGUUUUCAAACUUCAACCAGACAUUGCUGUACCAUGUGGCCAACCCUUUUCGAGAGGACGCCCACAUGAUUUGAUCAGAAGAAAGAAAAACAAAAGUUGGUUUGUCUGUGGAGUCCUUGAGUGGGAAGUUAAUGGGUUUCGACUAAGCCAACCGACGCCAAAAAUUGGCUUGCUUAGGCUGCUCACUAUUGUAACUCCAUGGCUUUAUAUUAUUCAUGGAGAAUUGGCACGAGGAGUGGAAUUUUCUCCAUUUCCUUCCACCUACAGAAAUCUGGCAAACAGUUUUUCCCAUCAUAUUAAAUCUUUCCGUUCAACCCAAAGACCAAAAGAGCAAAACAAGUACUCUACAACCAAUCAAUAGUCGGUGUGGAGUGGAGUGGGACUUCCUCUCCCGCGCCGUAGGGAUUAGUCGGAUCCCGUAAGAAUUGAUCCGAACACCCCUGUGUCGACAAAAAAAAAAAAAAGUACUCUACAACCAAUCAAACUAUUAAUCAAUAGUAUAAUUUUUAUUUGAUUUCUCCUUCGAUCUGUAUAUGCAUCAAGGUAUUAAAAUCGCGACACCCGUAAUUGACACGAGACAGCAACCACGUCUGAUUGAAUUUACCAUGUGUGCCCGAAUUGUAGCAUGUUCAUUGAAUUGGUUCUCGAUCAUGAGUAUGGGAAUUUGUAAAUUACAUAUUCAUCUAUCUUUAGUACAAAAACAUGCUUUUGACCAAAAAGAAAAAGUAUAAAAGCAUGCACCCUAUUAGAAAUCAAGUUUAAGCAUUUUCUUUUUUCCUUUUUUGUUUUGAGUACAUCAAAACUUAAGUUUAGAAUGCAAAAAUCUUAAGGCUACUCAAUAAGUUAUUGGUGCUUAGUCAAUUUUUAUAGUUUGAUCACUUCACGUUUGGAUUGCUAUUUAUAGGAAUUUUUGUAGAAAAAUGUAUCGUAAUGAUUUGAUGCAUGUACAGUAAAAAAAUGAACGAAAAAUGUGUUCUCGAAAAAUAUAAUUUUUUUUUGCAAAAAACCACAAUCCAAACAUAGAUAUCCUUUAUUUUUUAAGAUAAAGUUUGGGUGAGUUUAACUCUGGUCACCACCAUAAGCAUAGGAUACACUCUUUUGUAAGAAAAUGAUCCGUUCUUAUCAAUUGAAUUAACUUGUGUUGGCUUAAAAAAAAAAGAAGAAUUCCUCUCUUAGCAUGUUCAAUGUUUAAUUGUUUAAGUACCAAAUGCAAGCAGCAGGACAGACGUGCAUCAAGUCAUCAAAAUUUACAUGCAUAAAUUGUUUGGGAGGAUUGAAGGCAAAUAUUUUCGUCAAUAGUACAUUUAUAAUUUUUUUGAAUAGCUUUUUUUCAUGCAUUGUCAGUGUAUAAUUUUUUUACAUUAACAAAUUUAAAUCAUAUCGCAUAACAUGAAUAAUUCAAAUCAUGCACAUGUAGCAUGCAUCCAAAGUUGCUAGUGUAAAAAAAUUACUACAUUGUCAAUGCAUAAAAAGUUAAUUCUUUUUUUUAAUUAAUUGAAAUUUCACGUUUCAACCACGUAAUAGGCUCAUAUUCUAUUGACAAAAUAGGGAAACUGGCCGGGCAACUUCUUGAAUGUAAGAUACGAUCCUCUUGUAUUGGCCCCAAACUACUCCGUGCCCAAUGGGCAUAUCACCGAUGGGCGGUGGCCCAAUAAGAGCUCUUAAGUUGCCGCCAAAUCCCUGAACUUUUCCUCUAAAUCCCAAAAAUGUCCUCAUCCCCAUCCUCAGAGCUUCCCCUUCACCCCUCCCAAAACCCUAGCAACUGGCGCUUCACAUGGGAGGCCCAAUCUCACAUCCCAACCGUCCGAUUAUAUCUCUUCAACCCCCACAUCAAACCCUCAGCUCAAUGCAUCAACUUAGAGGUCGACUUAUCAGUGGACCAGUCUUCACUCCUCGUCAGAUUCUACCAAGCAGAAGCCGAAGCCGAAGCCGAAGCCUGCACUUCAUUUCGGGUCCCGCUCCCUAGAGUUUUAAUCGACCCGGAGUCACCGGUUCAGUUCACAGCUUAUGAUGAUCAUAUUCAUGUUAAACUCGCUCUGCUUCUUCCCAUUGAUCAUCCUCUUGUUUCGCAAUUUGAUUCCUCGUCUGAUGAGUACCGGCCACUUUCCACCGAUUCCGGUGAGCUUAUAACCAAUCACUUAAGAUGGAAUCUUUUUAUUCUUUUUGAUAUUUCUAUUCGCUUAUGAAUGAUUUGCUGUUUAGGAGCAUUUGUCAUUUGGUUUUAAAUUUGUUUGUGAAUAUGUUUUAUUCUUUUUUGGAACAAAUGUGGCAAUGUCGCUGGUAUUUUGCUUUCAAGAUGGAUGGUGGAUGAUUUGACCUUCACUGCGCAUAAAGCUGUGACAUUUACUUUUGAACAGGUCAUUUUGCGAUGAAUAAUUGCUUGACUAAAUGAUGUGUGAGCUGAAAUAUCUUUUAGCUUACCAUUGUCCUUCCUUUGCAAUCUGGAAGAAAGAAUAUGGAAUUGCUCGUGCUUCUAGUGUCUGCAACAUGAGUUCACUUGGCUUUCAAGUUUUAAGGGCAAGUUGGGUACAGAUUGGGAACCCGUGAUUAUACAAUUUUCCUUUUUGUCUAGAAGUCUUUUCUUUUUUGGGCACUUAUUCAAACACUGACCCAACCUUUUGGUUUUAUUUAUUUAUUUAAUUUUUAUUCAAGUUGUAGUAAUCAUGCACAAGCUAAAUUGUCAGUCAUACUUGUCAAGUUGAUUUAGGUGGAGCUACAGAGUGGAGAAUGUUAUUCGAUUUGUAGUUAGAAUUAGGCUGAGGAUAUUGUACACACGGGUGGGUGGAAAAAAGUUUGUGACAUUUGAUAUUUGUUUCUCUUGUGAAGGAAAAAUGGUUGUGUUUAAGUUUAAAUCACCGUAUCACUUUUUCUUUGUCUAUUUCAUUUUGAAGAUGACGAGCUAACAUGUUUUAGCUUAAUAUUUCUGUCUUUCCUUUCAUGGCAUCUAAGAGGUAUCUUUGGAAGCUCAAAUAUUGUAUCUUGUCAAUCUGUGAUGAAUCUUUUUGUUUCCAUUUAAUUUUUUCCUUUUUUAAAAUUUCGUUUGGUAUUUGUAAUCCAAGUGUAUUCCUAGUAAUUAUGGUUGUUCGUUUAGAUCUAAAGAAUUUAUCUGCUUUGGAGGAAGUGUACUUUUACUGCAGAAGUUGCUCAGCUAAGUUGACAAGAUCUCUCAGGUAGAUUCUACUUCGAACAUUUUUGGAGGAAAUACCAAAAUCCUCAUGGGUGCUGAUUCUUUCUUCUAUAAAUAUUGCAUUUUCAUGUAUGAGACAUUUAUGAUUUCUAGAACAUUUUUGCCCCCCCCCCUCCCCUCCUUCCCCUUUUUUCCCCUGAAUCACUGGCAAUCUCUUCUUUGCCAGUUAAGUCCUGUACUCUUCUUGUGGAAGGGUUACCUCACCUCCUUUCAUGGUACGGCCCGGUAGACGGCUAGAUUUACCAUUGGCUUGGAAGACCUAUAGAACCUACAUUCAGUUUGUUCUUUCUUUUCCUGAACAAAUAGAUGGAAUCCUACCUUGUUCAUUGGGAAUUUAUUUUACUCUUUCUUAGAUUUUAUUACAAUUGUUUUAUGCAUUAAAGGAUGUCCUUUUCUUGGCUGAACUUUCCAAAUUAUAUAGAUGUUUCAAGGAGAUGCCAUCAGUCAAUUGGCAAGAAGCAGCAGACAAUUGGUUUGGGGCUUGUUGUUGUUCAUUUGGAGGUAUCAGUGAGAAGCUGGUUAGAAGUUAUGCAAAGUCCUAUACAUGUGCAGCAGGUGUUUGUCUCUUAGAUACAGAAUCUGUCAUUUUGUGCAAGGACGAUCUUGUGGGAUGUGAAUUUCCUGGAUUUAAUUGGAACCAAAGUGUUGAGUUUAAUCUGAAAUUGACUACUGACGAUAUUUUGGUCAAAGCUUCCUCAGAUGAUGCAAGUAAACAUGGGCAAACUGUCUGCUCUGAGAAUGAUGACUUUGGGAGGGAGGUCAGCAAUGGCAAGGAACAUCAUCUUGGUUCUGAGGAAGAAAACCUCAAAGAGAAACUGAGGCAUGAAGCUACUGGAAAUGCUGGUGAUUGUGGUAACUUAUCUUGCCUGUCUUCACACUUACAGACUGCAGAAAACAUGGCAACUUGUCCUGACUUCCAUGCAGUUAUGAAACAUGAUCUUGGGUACUGUGAUAAUGGAUGUCAUAGUCUUGAUCGUUUAGAAAUCUCUUCAGAGGAAAAAUCUGGAAGGGAUAUUGAACUCCUAGAGCAUCAGAAAGUAUUACUUAAUGGCUUUCUUUGGAAUGGUUUCCUGGCAAGAUCCUCCAAUCUUUCAAAAGAUGUUAGGUGGGUCGAAUUCUUGUGUCCUCAAUGUUCUUCCCUACUUGGAGCAUACCCUUGCUUCAGUGAUAGUAGUCCAUUGGACAGUGGAAUUCGCUUGUUUAAAUGCCACAUUUCAACCACUUUACCUGUUGGUGGCUCCGGUAAUACGUUUAGGUAAAAGACUUCUAUUUAUGAUUGCUAUCACAAGAAGUGUUGUAAGUUUUGUGCUUGUGACAGUUAUGAUCAUUUAUUUGUUUUUCAAUUGUGGAAGGACACAUACCCAAUGCUCUUAUAAGAUGUAUAAGAGUAGGUCUUAGAAGGAGAAAGUCAUCUUUCAUAAGUUGUUUAUUUGUAAGUGGGUCUGUUAGUAUGGCUCUGAUGAUAUGCUGUGGAUACUUUGAUUUCUUUUGGGUUUGACAUUUUAGGAAAUAAAUCCUAAAUCCAUCAAAGAAAACGACUUCUAUCCUUUUUUUUCCCAAAAAAGGAAGGAAGUCAUUCAUUGGAAAUAAGAAAAGAAAAUAUUGCUAUGGCUUUAAACACUGGCUAUUGGUAGUGUCACUAUGCCUCUUCCUCCAAUUGGUUAGUUUACACUAAAACAUCUUCAGCGCUCUUUCACUUUAGUUAGUUGGCCAGCAGAACUGGGUGUUACAUUAUAUUGGGAUACUUUCGCCUGUUAUAUUAUGUGUUCAGCAUCAUGAAGGGAAUAAAGCAUGCAAGUGAUGUUGGUUAAUUAACUAUUUACUCUUCUUCAGUAUGUUGGAACCUUUCCUAAUGUCCUUUAUUAUUUUUAAUUAAAUCUUUCUUGGUCUGAAUUUUGCAAAGUUCAAUUUUGUGCAGAUGUUAUAGCUUGGAGAGGAUGUUUGCAAUUCAGUUGCUGGAAAGUGCAAAAGAUGAAUUAUCAUUCCGGACUGUUGUGAGAGAUAUGCAAACCAAAUAUCCUAUGCUGCAAAUUGUUCUGUUGAACCCGGAUUCUUGGUGCUGCAGUGGAUGUUGUUUGUACUCCACUGAAUCAGCUUCAAGGAAAAGCAUGUAUCCAACCAUCAAGGUGCUAUUUUCUGCCUGCUGCAAUGAUGAGGAAAACGAGUCUAGGUCAGUUAUUCAAAUGCAUUUGAUCUAUUUCGUGCAUAUAUUAAGGCAUUGUUUGUCCACCAGUUGACAGCAGAGUAAGUGUCAAUAGGGUAAUAUAGCGAAGUGGUCUUCAAUGUACAAUAAUUAGUCAUCUGAUUAAAUUUCGACGUGGCUGGAAUGUGUUAUCAUACUUUUCCCAGGGGCCUUUCUUCUUUGAGGAGCAAAUGCAUCUAUGAUUGAUUUUAUGGAUUGGCUCUAGAAAGAUUCUGUAAUGGUCACUGCUUAAACACAGCUUAAUAGCAAUCUGUUUUUCCGAUUUUGACUCUAUCCAGAAUUUAUUUGGCCAUGGUUGAAUCAUGUGCAGGAAGCUUGAAGAAUGGAUUACCAAGAAUCAAGCAGAUGAAGUGUACAUGUUGCCAUCUCAAAUAGGAAACUUGAUUUCCUAUUUAAAGUCGGCUAAUAGUAUGUACCCUCCAUCACAAGUUCCCCUGCAGAAUCUGUCCCUGUCAUCCAUGAGAAGAUAAACAAGAUACGGGAGAUUUUGAUCUCCAACAAAAUCUUAUUGUGGUCGGUUUGCAUGAGGAGGAUCUGAAAUCCCAAAGAAGGCUCAGAUUUUUAAUCUUGCAAGUUCUAUAGAAUUGUACGCAAUUUCAAGUUGCCAGAUUACUAGGGGGCUGAUCUGGCUGUCAUUCUGUUCCAUGACCAGAGGUUUAAAAAUCUCCCUCCGACUAUGCACGCUCUUUCAAGAGGAAAAAGAAGCGUCUAGGAUAUUGAAACUUACAGUUCAUCAUGGCAGUGCCAGUACGAUUAUAACACCUACCAUUAGAGGCAUUUGAAGCGUAACUGGUGCCCUUGCCCGACAGAGAGGGUGGAAAAUUAGGGGUUGCAAUGGUAUGCGGAGCCCGCAACUUACGAGGUAUGGGAUUCUGUGAUCGAGUCAACAACGACGAGACGCAGUCCCUGCAUACAUGAAUUUCCCUUUGUUCUUUGGUGGGACUGGUAUAUAUGUUUGCUUUGUUCUUUGGUGGAAAAUAAAAAGCUAUUAUUCCAAAAGAAAAAAAGUAAAUUAUGCUGUCUAAUUGGUGAUAUGUUCUUUGAAAAUUAUUUCGUGGCAAUCAUUUUGUCUCGGAGGAUAUUUUGAAUGCUAACAAAUAUUUUGGCUAUUAACCUUCUCUGUUUGCUGAUUACUUGAAAUUUACAACUGCAAUAAAGCCAUACAACUAACCACAAAAACAACCAACCAUCUUAAGCUUUAAAAAACUUCAUAAGAGAAACCAUAAAUCUAAACUUAAGACACUACAUAAGAGUAAAAGAGAAGAACUAAAAAUCAUCAUGCAUAAUUUAAGAACUACAAGGAAAAGUAAAAGAGAAGACACACUAAUGAUAACCGCUAGGGGUGGGCACGGGUCGGGUACCCGCCCCUAACAUGAUUUGGCUGACCCGACCCUAAUAUAUCGGAUCAGCCAUUUUGCGACCCUAACCUGCUCCUAAUAUUUUCGGGUACCCGAAAAAAAGGGGCGGGUCAUAGGGUACCCGCCCCUAAAAAAAACUAUUUUUCAAUAAAAAAAAUUAUUUUCUACUUAAUAUCAACAUAUUUUUCAAUAAAAAAACAUGCUUUUCCAAUUAAUAUUGGUAGAGAUAUUGUAAUUAAAGUCCAUACAUCACCAUUUUCACACAUUUCAUCCAAUAAUCAAAUCAAUCUCAUAAAUUUAGUACAUAUUAGAAUAUCUAAUGGACAAAACGAAGUUUCAUAAUAAUUUUGAGUACAUCACCAUUUUCACACAUUUCAUACUUCUACAACACAACAAACACAAGGAUAAUAAGUAUUUGGUAACUUCCCCAAGGAUAUUAUGGUACAAGACCGCAUCUCAAAUAAGUCAAUUGUGAAAUCAAGUUCGGAAAAGAAUUGAAUAGAACUAAUUAUUUUUGAAAAAAAUAUAACCAAAAUAAUGUUAAAAAUCUUCCCCAACUUCUUUACAUCUUUGGAAUAGACCUUAUGGUAUUAAGGUGAUGAAAAAGAAAAAUAAAUUUCUUGCACUAAAUAAAAGAGACAAAUUUAAGAGAUAUAAUUGCAAAUGAAUGACACAAAUAUUUUAAUUAUCUAGCUAACAGAAAAUUGAGACUCCAAACAAAAAUCUUUGAUUGAAUUGAUGCAAGAUUUGCAGGAAAGAUCGAUGGAGAUAGAAUAAAAAUAAAAAAGAUGAAAGGGAUGAACAAUUUUUAUAACAGAGUUUCACAAAUUUUUUUUUUCAUUUUGUUCAUGUUUCACCGAGAAUAUUCACUUUCUUCAAAAAAAAUGAGAAGAGUAGAUCAUAUAGGAUUAGAAUAUGAGGCUGCGAGCCACUUCACUUGCACUUAGGAUUAAAAAUUACAAAAUUAUAAAAUGAUCCCUACUUUUUAAAUAUUUAUAAAAUAUACCCUGCGGGUCGGGUACCCGCGGGUUUUUAUUUUUCUGAUCCGUAUCCGUACCCGAUUUUUCGGGUACCCGACCCUCAUCUGCCCCGCUAAGAAAAAUCGGAUCGGGUAUCCUAUUUUUCGGAUCGGAUCGGAUCGGGUUCAUCGGGUUUUCGGAUCGGCGGGUUUUUUUGCCCACCCCUAAUAACCGCACUUGAAAAGGAAAAAAAAAAAAAAACACGCGUGCACUACUAAACGUGCUUUUCUGCGACUUUUUGAAUUAUUCACUACUUGAAAAAUUGAUAGGAACUUUAUUAGUGGAAUUGACCACUAAAAUUCUUACAUUUUGACUGCAGAAGAAACAAAGGAAGUUCUUGUAUUAAUCCAGAAGGAAUGACUAAUUCUUUCGUAAAGGUGAAUGACACCUAUGUAACAGACGAAGAAUACAACUUGUAUUAAUGGAUUCUUUGGACAAAGCUUAUAGAAUUUGCAUACGCUUUAACAAGUCAAAUAUAUCUGCCAUUGGACUUUAUGCUUCCUCUUUUUGAGAGGUCAAAAGCCACAAAGUAUAAAAAGAAGAAUAUAAUGUCACAAGAGUGGAGAAGAAUGCAUUGUCGUAGUAUCAGCUGGAGGCAUUAAAAUCGCAGAAAUAAAUUUCAUGCAAGAAAUCCUUUUAGCAAGAUGUUGUGUCGACUGAACUUUAUCCACCUUCCGAAAGUGGCUACAUGAAUGGGCUCAUAGCAAUUAUUUUAAGCUUUAAAGAUCAUGGCCUUGAAAUUGAAUGGGUGAUGACAGUAGAUUUUCGGUUUCUUGGAAUAAAAUCAACAUUAGUGGUUGAAUUAUUUGAACUUGAUUCCAAAUUCUAUACGUUUUUUUGGACACGAUUCUUUUUCCCCAAAUGAGUAAACUUUACUUAAAUUUUCUAGAAAUAAAAAGUAGAAUUUAUUUUAUUUUAUUUUAACAAUGAAAAGAGGUCUUGGUUUUUUUUUUUUUUUGAGAAACCAAUUGCUCAACCAUCACAUUGCAUAUUAUUAAUAGCUUCCUAAAACCGUAAACCUAACCUAUAAUCCAUAUGAUUUGAUAUUUUGUUCAGAUUGAGCCACACCAUUACGUAUCUGAUCCCAGACAACCCACCAUGCAUGUAUUGCUCAAUCCUAAUGAAUCUGGGUACUCUAAUAAGUGUAGGACUUGGAGUUUUAUUAUUGAAACGUUAUCAUGUUUUUAAUUUUUGCUAAUAAAUACGAAGUGCUGGCAAACCAGUAUAUUUACCAAGAAUCAGAAUACCAUAAUGCCUCUCAUUUCACAAUUUUAUACUCGUGUCUUUCUUUUGAUCUUUAAUUGACUAAUUGAUUAGUGAAAUGUAUAUAGAUUGUCUCACGUGCUUUUUCCGAAUGUCUCUCAACGAGUCGGAUAGAGGUAUAUUCAUGAUGGAUUUAAAGAUUAAAAGGAAUGAUUGAACUUGGCUUGUGUUUAAUAAUUUUUUGAAAGAAUUUAAUUGAAUUUGGUUUGAAAUUUCAGAUAUAUAUUCACAAAAAGUUUGGCUUGACUUAUCAAAAUAUCGAGUUCAAAUACAUACAAUCAAAGCUUGGCUUGUCUUGAAAUUUCAUAUUAUAUUAUAUAGAGAUUUUCACCCUAAUUUGUUGCUUUUUUUUUUCCCUUAUUUUUUGCCCUAUGAUAUUCAAGAAAUCUAUUACAAUGAAUUAGUGAUGUGAUUAAAGUUAAUUAUGCCUAUUUAAAAAAUCUAUUACGAUGAGUUAUGGAAGUGAUCAAAAUCAAUUAUACCUAUUCAAGAGAUAAGAGUAGUAUAUCUAUUCAAAAGACAGCUAUAUUUUAUAAGACAAGUAAUAUACGGGAAGGAAAGAAGUGGGGUUAAAAGUAUUAUAUGCUUGCUAUAAAGAUAAGAUAAGCAAUAUAUAGGAAGGAAAGGAGUGGAGUUAAGAAAGAAAACUUUAUAUAUAUUUUUAUCAAAUUUGCUUGCCGUAAAUGUUUAUGAACACAUCGAGCUGGACAACGUUUCCCACCCUGAAUAGAUGAAAGCUUAUACCAUCCCACUCUUUUUAAUUUGAUUAAUCAGCUGGAUUCUAAUAUUUUAGUAGGAUGUAAUAAAUUUUUUUUUUUUACCUAGACUAGGUUGCUAAAGAUCGUACAGAGUAGUACAAGUAGGUUAACCAAUUUCCCAUGAUCAUUAAAUAUUUGACCAAUUUAGUAGGUAAAGAACAAGAUUCAACCAAAGUUAAGCUCAAGGCUCACUUAACUAGUAUUCUAUACCAUGUAGAAAUAAAAUUUACUUCUCCAUUCAAUUAAAAAUAUGAACUUUCAUGCAUGCUUAUUGUUAUAAUUAUGACAAGUGUCACUUAAAUUUUGGUAACACCAUAAAAAUGGCCGCUAUAGCAUAAAAAUAUUUAAAAAAAUGGUCGUACAGUUAACAAAAAUUCAAUCUAUUUUUCUCAAUCAUUUGCAAAUUUAUGAUUUUUUUUUUGGCCUUCUUCUCUAAUUGGCUGUGAUUUGUACUCAUUGUAUUUAGUUCCCAUAUUGAAAGUCAAAAAAAAGGAUAAGGGCAUAAAAGAAAUAAGGAUAAAUAGGUAUUUCAGAUUUUAUGAACUAAUAAGGGCAUAAAGAGGAUAAGAAAAUUUAACACCACAAAAGUAAAAAUACUAAACGAUACUCAGAAUGUGUUUGGUUUGCAUUCCAAAAUCACAGUCAUAAAUCUUUCAUCAUUUUCCAACCUUGUUGCUCCAUUUAGAACCAAGUUGGAUUUCAUUCUAGUAAUUAUUUAAUCAAUUUGAAAUCCAAGUCAUUACAAAUAUUUUUGACACCUUUUUCCCAUUAACGGAUUUCCAUAAUAUAUAGUUUAUCAAAUAAUAGAUAUAAAUAGCCUCAAGAAAACAAUAGAUAGAGGUAUCAUUAACUUCAAUGCUAAUUCCUAACUCAUUUGCCAAAAACCCCUAAAGCUAACCAUUACAAGUAUGGAUCCGUUAGGAUUACAAGCAUGGCAACCAUCCGCCUGUCUAAUGACCCUAACCAGCGCUAUAAACAACGGUCUAAUGAACCUAAAUAAAAUAGUGCUGUAAACAACGGCCUUAUCAUUUCAUUACUACUAGUAAUACUGCAAGUGCUUUGCUCGUGGUUAUAUUUUCCCAAACUUUUAUGUAUUAUUUAUAAUGGAGUAUUUUGUGAAAUAUUAAUCAUUAAAACCAUAAAAAUUUUUCUUUCCAUCAAUCAUGCAUAGGGUGUACUUCAUCCCUAUAUAUAAAGAAAGAGUGGCAAAUUAUGAUGUAUUAUUAUUCAUGCUAACACAUAUGAAGUAAAAUCUGUUGAGUUAUAAUUUUCGGAUUCAACCUUCAAGAAUGUAGCAAAAAAUUAAUUAACUUUGGCAAGAGAUUGCACAUCUUGAGUGCCAAAUACAAAACAAGAUCUGUGGAGUUAUAAUUUAUAAAUCUAACCUUCAUAAACGGUAUCAAACAUGAUAGAGUUCUGGCUAUGUAGAGAAGUUUAUCUUGAGCUUCUCCUUUACAAACCAUUAAUACAAAUUAUGGCAGUACUAUGUUGGUUCCUUUUUAUAAUUUCGCCAUAUAAAGGCAGUAGUAAUAACGUGUGCAUGAUGAUGAAACCAAAUAAACAGAUAAGACCGGGACUACGAAACCAUAUUGUCAUUUGGGUACAUUGGUGCGUUGUAUCCUUAAGGUACAUUGAACUAUAAACGGAUAUGAGUAGGUGUGUGAUAUAUUGCUACAUUGUAAAUUUCUAAUAAUAGAAAUUUUUUUUUAGUAUGUAUCCUUAAGGCACACGAUAAGCCUACAAAAUACAAACGAUGGACCAAUUUCAAAUUUUAAAUAUCAUUAUCAACCCCCAAAAUCUAGGAAACUUUAGCAAUAAAUUUUAAACUUUUCCUUAACUAAUACCUGAUCCACCCCUUAAUUAUCAUGUGUUUUAAGGGUACAAAGAAUCCUCGUAGAAAUAAUAAUAUAUGGUAUCUUAGAACGAGGGAAUGCAAAUAAUAAGCACUUAGAUAAAUUUAGAGAUAAUUACGGUCAGCAAAUUUGUAUCAUAACCAUUCAUUACACUAUUCUUCCCAUACUUUAUCUUUCAUUAAAGUUUCUAACUAUGUUUUUGGCCCAUUAUUUCUGAAUGCAUUUUGAUCUAACAAUUUAUUUUUCUGAAUGACUUCUUAAAGAUCUUAAUUUACCAAAAUUAAUAUUGUGGAUAUCUCUUAUGUUCUAAAUUAAACACGAGUUCAGCACAACCAAAAUUUACACACAAAAUAGUUUAGAUGUUUGAGAAUUAAGAGUAUUUUUCAUGCUAACCUUUCUUCUUCUUUUCCUCCUCUAUUAGAGAUGUCCUUUGAAGUGUGUGCUGGAUGGACCUGAUUGAAUCACCUUAAAAAAACAAAAAUCCAGGCACAAGCAACUUAGCCUCCUUUACACUCAAAGAACUCAAAUGUUCUUUUUGGUAUUGUUUGAAUUUUCUUUAUUAGCUUUAUAUUUAAUUGUUUGUUCACUUUAUGCCAUUUAAUUAUUGAUUUUCAAUUCUAUGGAGCUUUCCUUUUUUUUGUGGAAAGUUUUGUAGUUUCUUUUGGGCAUUCCACUAAUCUGUGUUUUUAAACUCGGACCGGAUCGGACGAUCCGACCGGUCGAACCGAGAAGUGUUUGGUCCAAGUUGUUCUUCAAAAUCGAAAGACUGAAAACCCGGACAAAAAUCGGGUUUGACCGGAAAAAAACCGGUUCAACCAGAGCAUUUUUUAAAAAAAGGUUAAACUUUUUCAAUAUUAUGUUUUGACCCCUAAAUUUUUAAAACUUAUUAAUAUACCUCAAAUAUUUCAUACUUUAUAAAUGUUGUCCUAAAAUUUGAUGUUAUUUUUCAAUCAAAUCCAUAAUUUUAAUUCUAAACUUAUUAAUGUUCAUUAAAUAAUAUAAAUUGCUACUUGACUGUUCUAAUUUCUUUGUAUUUUCUUGUUAAAUAUAUUUGAAACAUCAAAUAUAUAUGAAUGUACCUUUAUUAAUAUUAACAUACUUUUAGGUAUUUUAUAUACAAUAUUUUAAUUUUAAAUAAUUUUUAUUUAUGACAUCAUCCGGUUCAACCCCGAUCGAAGCCGGUCGAACCCAUUGACCCCUGACCCCUGAGUUUGGCCGAGUCGAUAUCCGGUCCGAGUCUGAAAACAUAGCCACUAAUGAGAUUAAAUUUGCCAUUGGAUAUAGAAUAAGAAUUAUCAACCCUUAAAUUACUUCAAGAGUCUAAAUCACUGAAUGAUGCGACAAGAUAUAAAAGGAUUUGAAUAAUGGGUACUGUAUCCAAGAGGAACUGUAAUAUUUUCCUUUUUUUAGCUUAUUUGCUUGUUCUUCAUAAUGAAUUUUAAUUAUUGCAUUGUGUUAUUUCAUUUAUGCAUAACUUUUUAUUAUAACAAUUAAUAACAUGAUUGAUAUUCAUUCCCUCAUCAUUAUUGAAAUGCAUUAUAAUUAUUCUAUAGAGGGUAGUUUAGGUAUUACAAAAAGUAAGACAAAAUCUGUUUACACUACCUAUACUUCUAGACCCAUGAUACUUUUACAGGGAGUAUAGACAGAGUCGUGGCUUUCUUUUGCUCUUGAAUUGAUUACGUAAAUGACCAAUAGGGGUUGGUUCGAGUGGUAAGCAGUUUGGAUUAGCUUAAGCAUGUUUCGUGUUCGAGUCCUAGUGUACGCAGACACCCCUGUUGAAAGACUCACCCAUCAUAGCCAGGUGUGCGACGCAGGUCGGGUCCGGAUUAGUCGGGGCAAAGUUCGGAUACCGGGCGGUCAAUCAAAAAAAAGAAUUGAUUACGUAAAUGUGCAUAGCUUGUCCCACAUGUUUUUUUUUUCCCCAAAUAUCCUUGAAUAGCCAAACGAAAUCUUGUACCGUUCCACUCCUUUCAAAUUGGUUAAUCAAUUGGAUUAACAUUUUUUUUGGCCGGAAAAAAAUUUCUAUAGAUCGUGCAUUUUAUCAUUGAACUAGUGCAAAGUGGAUUAACCAAUUUCCCAUAGGUCGAGCAUAGCACUACUACUUGAUCUAUAAGACAUUCAAAAUUUAUCUUCCUCUCUCAGAAUCCUUCUUCGUCGAGGACAUGUAGCGCAUUAGUUGAACGCAGAUUCCUUAGAAUGCAUGGGAACUUAUUCGUUUACGAAAUGGGCAAUCGAGAGAGAGAGAGAGAGAGAGGCAGGAUUAUAAUUUCUCGAAGGGCCAAGAUCGACCAAAGGGUCGUAUGGCAUUUUAUGCAUUGAUCAGAAUCUCUUCAAUAUUCGUUGCUUGGUUAUAAAUAGAGUUUGGGAAUGAUCAGUUUUUGCAAUGCAAUGCAAUGGGUUGAUAGGAAGGUAAGAGGAAGAGAGGCCUUACAUGAAGGUAAAGGUCCUCAUUUGGUAGCCAAGGAUGACUUGCCUGCUCCACCUCAGGGGGUUUCUCUAAGUCCACAAGUAAACCCUUUGUCGUGGUCGCCAGGAAGUCUCCUUGGCUAGCCUGAGAGGCUCUUUUCUCUCAUGCUAGGUCUUCUUUUCCCCUGCAGCCUCUGCCACCUCCCAGUCCUUUAUGAUUUUCUUUUAUCUCUUGCAAUUAUUCAAUUUUCCAUUAACUCCUUCAUCGUCGUGCUUUGCAGUUUGAGUACUUGCGAUGAUUGACAAAGCAUUGCAGUUUGAGUAUUAACUUUUGUUUAUCAGAAGCGUUGAAAAAUUUUCAUCAUAACACCGAUAUUUUGCAUUUCGGUACGUAAAAGUAUGUCUUGCAUUGUUUUAGCAUCAGCCAUCGUCUACUCCUCGGAUAAAUGUCAGUAAGAUGGAUCGUCUGUUUCAACAUUCGACCAGGUUUUACAAUAUUCGAUCCGACAAAUUUUUGUUUUUUGGGGGGUGGGAGGGGGAGUAAUUUUUGUUGGAGAAAACCUUACAAGCGCACAAAUUUUAGUGCCCCUAUUCCCUGUUCCCUAGCAUUUAAUUUGUAAGCCAUGUUUACUAAUCCUUCCUUUCUGUCUGUCUUCUUUUAUUUACAGAUCAAUUGUUUUUUUUAAAAAAAAAAAAAAAAAUCUUUAUCAAGAAAACAAAGGUGAAGUUCUUUGAAGUAUUCGGAGCAGGACUCCAAACGUAGUAAGGUGCCUAAGAUUCUCAUGUAAUGGCAAAAUCCAAUUAGGUCACGAAUGAAAUUUAAUGCAGGAACGAGGAACGAAACAAAAACCGUUCAUGGGACGUGUCAUACAGCAGCACUAAAAGUCUUCAAACAGCUCUCCGUGCCUUGAAUACCCAACAUUUUAGCAGCACACUUGGACGAUUGUGGGCAGAUGGCAUAUUUCAGCAACACAACUACUUACAAAUCCAGAAUAUAUUAUCAUGGAGCAAAAUAUCAAUAAUAUAUUUCUGUAUGGGUGUGAUCCAAUGCCCACCAAGCCACCAUGUGUACAUUUGCCUCCCAAGGGCCGGGCCCCAAAGAUUUAUGGAUAUACACUGUUUACAUCCAAGCCACGAUUGAGGCAUUUAUGUCCGGAUCCCUUUAUUUAAUCCAUCCAUUGAACCAAAAAUAUCCUGCCAAGGAGGGGAGCCUUCAUGAAGCUUUCGUGGGAGCAUUAUGAUGACGAUGCGGAAUUUUUUUUGUCUCUUAAAGUUCUCAUACGCGGUGAAGUGUCACCUUACCUAGCUUAUCACUCAUAAGAAGAUCUUUGAUUAAAAAGAGCGUUUUCAAUUGACCAACCUUAUCUACUGCCGACAGAGGACACUUGUCACUGUCAUGCACAGCCACGUAACAUCUUGCAAACUGACGCGGUGUCGGUACUGCAUGAAUUCGGCUUACACCUGGAACGCUGUUUGUGGCUCUUCCUCUGCAUGCACCGGCAAAUCCUCAUAACUUUACUGAUCUUUUUGGUUGUUCCCUUUCUUCUUCAGCUUGCCUAUAUAAAAACAGGGUUCCGCUGCAACUAUUUCUCGUCAAAUCCACCCAUUUGUGUGAAGAAGUCUUAUCAGUCAGUCUCUGAUCUUUCACCUUUCAUUGAUUUGUGUUCUAUAUUCUACUUCCGCUAGUAGUUGAAAUUUGGCAAUUAAGAUGGCACAAUACGGGGCUGAAUAUGGCAACCAAAAGAGCCAGUACGAUGAGUACGGAAACCCAGUUCGUCAGACAGACGAAUAUGGUAACCCAGCCCGCCAUGGAGGUACCAUGGGUGAUUAUGGAACCACUGGCACUACUGGAGCCUAUGGUGGCACAGCUGGAGCACAUGGGACUUAUGCAACUGGAACCACCGGCACUACCGGUACCGGUGCGUAUGCCACCCAGCCUGGCACUGAUGUGGGGAAGGAGCACCAUGGCCUUGGUGGCAUGCUUCAUCGCUCUGGUAGCGGUAGCUCUAGCUCGGUAUGCCCUCCUAAUUAAUCUCGUCUUGCUUAAAUUGUACUGAGUUGUAGUAGCAUUUAACAAAUCUUGACCAGCUUGUGAUGACUGGUAAUUAAAAAGUUCUUAUCUGUUUUCUUUUUGUUUUUUCGGUUGGGAUGCAGUCCGAGGAUGAUGGGCAAGGCGGGAGGAGGAAGAAGGGGAUGAAGGAGAAGAUAAAGGAGAAACUGCCUGGCGGUCACAAGGAGGCUCGACCUGGACAAGAAUAUUCGAGUGCUACUACAGCUCCUGGAUACGGCGGGGAAGGAGAGCAGCACGAGAAGAAAGGAAUUAUGGAUAAAAUCAAGGAGAAAUUAC
RNAcentral lists this long non-coding RNA (44009 nucleotides) under Coffea arabica (coffee). Lineage: Eukaryota; Viridiplantae; Streptophyta; Magnoliopsida; Gentianales; Rubiaceae. The record is from RNAcentral.